This is a long non-coding RNA of Sebastes umbrosus (honeycomb rockfish), 2853 nucleotides long. RefSeq lists it as uncharacterized. Lineage: Eukaryota; Metazoa; Chordata; Actinopteri; Perciformes; Sebastidae. The transcript has 6 exons. The record is from RefSeq and is a predicted model, not a curated record.
AUUCACACACGACAUACACUCCAUAAACUCCCUUCUCUCCCCCUGGCACCAAGACUCAUUUCAACACUCAAAGAUCACAUACCGCCCAGCAAGAAAAGCCACACCAGCCACCACUCACCAACAACCAAACAGCUGAUUAUCAAGGGUAUCAACACUGACAUAAACACAGAAGAAAUAAAAGAAGAACUGGAAAAACGAGGCAUCUCCACAACUAAAGCACACUGCAUCAUCAGCAGAGCCACUCAACAGCCUUGGUGGCAUUCAAAGAUGUAACCAAGUAAGACGUUCAUAUGCAGGAGAUAUGAGCUAAGAAGCUAAGAACUUGUGAAGAGGAGCAAACUAACACACAAGGCUUGAAUCAACAGGAGCCAGCCAGACAGACAGGCAGGUAUACAAGCAGAGCUGAGACCAGAUCAGUAAACCCUGCCUGCCCACCAAUGCUACUUUACCAAAUUAAUUACGCACAGAGAGAAUGUAUUGAUGCCUCCAGAGAAGAUGGAUCAGGAAAGAAGCUGAUGACCACAUGUGCGACAGAUGUAACUCCUGCUGAAGGCUCUCGUCCUGCUGUUAUGUCAGAGAGAAAGAUGGAUGAAGCCACCAGUCCACAGAUCUCUCAUCAACAGCGAUGUAAAGCUACCCAGAAAAUAACACCCUGGCAGCAGACAGAGGUAUAGGCGGUGGGGAAUCACAUGAAUCCGUUCAUCCGUUCUUGUGUUGUACCAGCAAAGAGUGACUGUGAGAAAUGUUUAAGGGCUGAACCAGAAGCUCUCAAGAACCGUGACUGGCAGAACUUGAAAUUUUAUAUUUACAAUCGCAUUACGGCCUACAAAAGGAAAAGUGCAAUGUACUGAAAAUAAUAUGGAGAUUACCAAUGAACAGGCUGGGACUGUAGUUUACGUUUACGUUCAGUGUUACAUGCAUGUCAUACAGUCAACUUACUUGAAUUCGACUUGACAUGUAUUCCAUCACAGUGAGCCUUUUGUUGUCUCAAAAUAAUUGCUUGGUGGUAUUUUUUAUAUAUAUAUAUAUAAUCAGCCUGAGACAGAGAGCUAAAUAAACUACAGUGAUCAGACUGUAAUACUACUGCCUGAAUUAAUAAAAAAAAAAAAAAUCAGCUAUAGCGAUUAUUCUUCUUUUAUCAGGUACAGUACAAAACAUCAUAAAAAAAACAAAUCCUUCUAUAAACAGAAAACAAAAUCCUGAGGUUAAAGCUAUCGCUCAAUCUGCAACAACACAACAGGCUUUGGUGCUAGCAACCACAAGAAUUAAGAGCUAUAUCACGCCCUUCCACGUGUGUGUGUGUGUGUGUGUGUGUGUGUGUGUGUGUGUGUAUAUAUAUAUAUAUACAUAUAUAUAUAUAUAUAUACACGCGUGGAAGGGCGUGAUGUUGUGUUUUUUUUAUGAUGUUUUGUACUGUACCCGAUAACAGAAGAAUAAUCGCUAUAGCUGAUUUAUUUUUGUAUAAAUUCAGGCAGUAGUAUUACAGUCUGAUCAUUGCUUUAGCUCUCUGUCUCAGGCUGAAUGUAGGUGGAAGGUUGCCUGAUGGGGUAACCCUUUUGUCAUGACUUUGGGACAUUGUUCAUUCCGGCAGAUAUUACUUAUGUAAUCAAGGAAGUGUGUUUCUCUCUUGGGAUGUCCAAAGAAAAGUAUUUUCAGGUGUCCAUACCUCUGUAGUCAUAGGCACUGUAAUAGUUGACUGUAACUGAUGUUCAUUUAGAACUUGGAUGCUUCAGAGUCAGAUUCUGAGUUAAUUUGGACCUUAACAUUAUGCUUUUGUGACAAGGUUUUUUUUUUAUGAAUCAUUUUGCUCCCUGUGAAAGAAUAGGCCCUUGUGGAUCUAAAUGGGAAAGGCACUUUAAUCAACAUGUUAUGUUAAAAUGAUUAAAUCAAGUUCUCUCUCUAAAGGUUUUGCAUUGUUUACAUUCAAUGUUUACUCCAGCUUGCUGUCAGAAGUGAAAUGUUUGAGAGAGAGAGAGAGACUGGGUAAGUCUCAAGGGAUUAAAUCAUAAAGCAAUUCAACUGUGUUACCUGGAUUCAUUAAAAAGUUCCAUUGUGCAAUUUAAAUGAGUUCGAUUUAUCUUAGUUUAACUAAUUAAAUUAAUAUUUACUAGGAACUAAAUGUAACUCUUCGUGUUAUGACAAACCUGUGAGAUGAUUACUAGUUCUAUUAGGGUGGUGCUAAGCUUUAGGUGACUGACAGUGGUUGCUGGGUGGUUGACUGUGGUUAGAUAUAAGGAAACAAAAAUAGCUGUCUGAGAUGUAAAGAAAGAAUAGCUCUUAUGGUGGAAAGUAAAAGGUUUAAAGAUUUGACUUUUUGUGUGGUAGAUAUGGGUUGGACAACAAUUUCUGGUUCUAUGUUCCACACCAGUGGCGACAUGUGUUAUGGUGGUCAGGAAAUCAUGGCUCAAGAGGCAGGAGAAGGGGUCAGAGGUCAAAAUGGCCUCAUGGUACAAUUACAUAAUCUAUGAACAACUAAGCCUUUCCCAAAUUUUAAUUGUAAUUGAUGUACUGCUGUAUCUUAUAAUUUAACUUAAUUGUUCACUCAACUUUUUUUUUUUAUAACUGCAAUAUAAUCAGAGGGUUGACUUGAUAUAGAUGUACUGUAUAUAGUUGGUUGUGUUAAUGUGAAAGUUAAUAUAAAAAAUAGGUCCCCAGUAGUCAUAUGGGUAUCCCUGUGAAUUAUGCAAAUGUAUGCUAAUAAGGUCCCCUUGAGUCCCCUUGAGACCCAUUUAACAUGGUGACACCAUUACAUCAUCAAUUCAAAGAUUUGAAGGCGUGUAUAGGCUAACUAAGCAAUGCUAAGUUUACCUGAUUUUUUUCAUACCUCUAGGACCUCUAGAAAGGGUGGUCCCC